UCAAUCAUCUCUUGCAUACUUUCAUAUACAUAUUAUCGUGCUUGUUGUUAAGCAAAACAUGGCAUCCUCAAAGGCUUUUCUUCUUCUUGGUCUUGUCUUUGCUGUUCUCCUCAUCUCCUCUGAGGUCUCAGCUACUCCAACUCGUGAGUUUCUCACUUUCUUAACUAAAUCAUAUAUAUUAAAUUAGUAAUUGUUUCUUUCCAGUAACGAUUUGUGAAUUUAGGCACAUUUUAAUUAAGGUGCACUGGUCGUGAAAAUGAUUAUGCUUCGAACUCUUUUUCUGCAUGUAGGGUUAGUGGUUGUUGCACUUGCGUGACUUAAUUUGCACCUUAUUAAAUACAAACCGAUCUAUGAUUGUUAUAAGUUAUGUAUAUGUUUUUGCUUUAUAUAUAAAAUUUUUGUUUGUUCUCUCAGAGGAGAGUAUAGUCAACGGUGAUGGCCACGGACAUGGAGGGUAUGGCCACGGACAUGGAGGUUAUGGACACGGACAUGGAGGGCAUAGCCACGGACAUGGAGGAUAUGGCCAUGGACAUGGAGGGUAUGGCCACGGCCACCACGGCAAAGGGGGGCCUGGUGCUGCUGAGACUGAAAUCGAGAAUUAGAUAACCUAUUAGUUUCUGUGACUUACGUUGCAGUUGUGUUGUAAGGGUAGUAGUACGAAAUAAAGUUGUUUGGUUGAGUAAUCUAUAUGAAAUAUCAAUCAUA
Molecule: long non-coding RNA, 705 nt
Filed under: Prunus dulcis (almond)
Lineage: Eukaryota; Viridiplantae; Streptophyta; Magnoliopsida; Rosales; Rosaceae
Source: RNAcentral